Long non-coding RNA from Heterocephalus glaber (naked mole-rat), 450 nucleotides. NCBI's taxonomy places the organism in Eukaryota, Metazoa, Chordata, Mammalia, Rodentia, Bathyergidae. The record is from Ensembl.
UGCCCAGAGAGCCUGGGAAGUGCACUGUCUGCUGAUCCCCUUAGGACAAUGCCUCUGUGAAGUGUCAUCGGGAACAGCACACACAGCUGAACUAUUUCUAGUGCAAAGAACUACUUUUUUACAGCAAGCCAAUCAUGACAGAUCUCCCAGUGCCUGAGCGUUGUCAGCAUGAUAAAAUGUCUAAGAAAGGAGAAGGAUGUACCUUGCAUUCUGAAAAUGUUGAAGUUUCCAGAUGGUGCUAGGGAGGAGGCGCAGAUAAUAGCAACACAGGGCUUUUAAUGGAGGACGGUUCAUAUCCAAGACAUAGAAGCUCAUCCAAGAAAAGAUUAACCCUGUUUUCUGAUCCAUUAUGAAGUCUUGUAAUGAAAGGAUGGAUGCUCACCUUUGGAAAAAACAUGAGAGCCUGAAAAAUAACUACCUUCAUUGAAGCCAUGUUAAGCUAAAGUGUGG